Molecule: transfer RNA, 73 nt
Filed under: Gemmatimonadaceae bacterium
Lineage: Bacteria; Pseudomonadati; Gemmatimonadota; Gemmatimonadia; Gemmatimonadales; Gemmatimonadaceae
Description: tRNA-Lys
Rfam family: tRNA
About the family: Transfer RNA (tRNA) molecules are approximately 80 nucleotides in length. Their secondary structure includes four short double-helical elements and three loops (D, anti-codon, and T loops). Further hydrogen bonds mediate the characteristic L-shaped molecular structure. tRNAs have two regions of fundamental functional importance: the anti-codon, which is responsible for specific mRNA codon recognition, and the 3' end, to which the tRNAs corresponding amino acid is attached (by aminoacyl-tRNA synthetases). tRNAs cope with the degeneracy of the genetic code in two manners: having more than one tRNA (with a specific anti-codon) for a particular amino acid; and 'wobble' base-pairing, i.e. permitting non-standard base-pairing at the 3rd anti-codon position.
Source: RNAcentral
GACCCGGUAGCUCAGUUGGUAGAGCAACGGACUUUUAAUCCGUAGGUCGUGGGAUCGUUCCCCACCCGGGUCA